This 397-nucleotide long non-coding RNA is filed under the name Mustela putorius furo (domestic ferret). RNAcentral's name for it is "lncRNA (ENSMPUG00000024531.1)". The record is from RNAcentral. Lineage: Eukaryota; Metazoa; Chordata; Mammalia; Carnivora; Mustelidae.
UAGUAAAGCUGCUUAGUGGUCUUACUCACCACUCCCUCUGCCUGAUCACCCUGUCAUUUGUCACCUUCUGAAGUUAUCAAGGAAUAAAAAGCCAGAAUGCUGCACAACGUUGAGCAGUUAGAUCAUGACUCCAAUAGCACCUUCCAUGGUCAAGAGUUAACCCUAUCGGUCCCAUCUCCGUGACUGCGGAAGCCUCACCUUGCAUGUUCAUGGGGUACGGCAGAAGGCUGUGUUGAAACUGUGCCGUGUUAACCUGCCAGGAGCCUGGACACAACUGCAGUCACUCAAACACCAGAGAAGUGAUGCUUUUAUUAGCAGUGCAGUCAUCCCUUCCUUAACAUGUCAUCACUGAGAUUAGGAAGACAAAAUAAAAGCAACAGAAAAGGAAAUUUCCCAU